Molecule: ribosomal RNA, 432 nt
Filed under: uncultured bacterium
Lineage: Bacteria
Description: bacterial SSU rRNA
Rfam family: Bacterial small subunit ribosomal RNA
Source: RNAcentral
CAGGCCUAACACAUGCAAGUCGAACGAAGGCUUCGGCCUUAGUGGCGCACGGGUGCGUAACGCGUGGGAAUCUGCCCUUGGGUUCGGAAUAACAGCGAGAAAUUGCUGCUAAUACCGGAUAACGACGUAAGUCCAAAGAUUUAUCGCCGAGGGAUGAGCCCGCGUAGGAUUAGCUAGUUGGUGGGGUAAAGGCCUACCAAGGCGACGAUCCUUAGCUGGUCUGAGAGGAUGAUCAGCCACACUGGGACUGAGACACGGCCCAGACUCCUACGGGAGGCAGCAGUGGGGAAUAUUGGACAAUGGGCGCAAGCCUGAUCCAGCCAUGCCGCGUGAGUGAUGAAGGCCUUAGGGUUGUAAAGCUCUUUUAUCCGGGACGAUAAUGACGGUAUCGGAGGAAUAAGCCCCGGCUAACUUCGUGCCAGCAGCCGCGGU